Molecule: long non-coding RNA, 33716 nt
Filed under: Prunus persica (peach)
Lineage: Eukaryota; Viridiplantae; Streptophyta; Magnoliopsida; Rosales; Rosaceae
Description: long non-coding RNA (PPER_LNC001535)
Source: RNAcentral
AAAGUGCUCAACAAGUUCGCCGGUUAUAUUUACAAAGGACAAAGAGAGGUGUUUAAGGGACUUGAUGCAGGAAAUACCAAAAGGGCUUCUAAAUGGCUUAUCUGGAAAGAUAUAACUGGGAGAAGAAAAACGAGACCGUCUGCCUGCUUCCAAAUCUAUCUCAAGGCCUUGAACUCUCCUCCACAUUGCAAAUUCAAUCCAAUUGUCGAUUUCAGAACUACUAGGACUGCAAUUGAGUGAGGAAGAACGAAUUUUGAAUUCAUCUAAGGAUGGACCAUGGUGCAAUUGCAAGACUUGAUUCACCCAAUUGUAACUAGAUGUUGUUUUCACUCGUUGCCUUCUUUUCUUCUGUGGUUUGGAUAAUGCAUCUAUAUCAUCGAAGUUGAGACAUGUAAUCUGUUUCCACACAUAGAUCCACCUCUUAGAGAGGACACAAGUUCUUGCUGCAUCCCUAAUACCCAAUAGGGAAAGAAUGCUGAUUAGAAUGACAUCCGGUAGCUGACUGAUCUGAUCCUCCUCCGAAUAAUUCUCUUCCUUAUCAACCAAAUUGAUUGGAAUCUUUUGUCGUUUCCCAUAUGUCCAUCCAGAAUGCUUAGCCUUUCUUUUCGGCAUGGAAGUUGGAACACCCUUGUUAUUAAUUUACUUUCUUCUUAAAUAUUACAAUGUAAUGAAAUAAGCUGCAGAAGUGGAGCAAACCGAUUAUUACUAAAACCAACUAUCAAACAGAUGAAAAGAAGCGAUCAUCUAUAAUAAACGAAGAAGGCGAAAAAGUUGGGUUCGUGAAUACAAGUAAUCUAAGCAACCUUAAAAACAAAGAAAAGAAGACAAGACUGCAGAUGAAAAGCUGGUGCUGGUGUUUUUCAUUCACAACAACGUUUAUAAAAUCACACUUGUAUUUGAUUCUGCGUAAAUAAAAAAGCAGGGAGGGAGCCAAUAGCUGAUUUAAAAGCCCCUGCUUUUCAUUCAAAAUUUUGCAAUCUAGAAUUACUAAAGCAGCUACCCUAUUAUUUAUAGGCAGCAAACCGACUAAAAUCCACCAAAUCCAAAUCCAAGUCCAACUGGGAAACUACAUUUCUAUUUCCCUCUUUUUGAAGGAGAAGCGGAACCUUUUCUACUUAUUUGGUACAACUACAACAUCUAAAGAAAAUUUUGGAUGUAAGCCAUGAAACAUAAUUGCGCCUUUGAAAGAGUAAAUCUGACACUGAUAGGUAUUUUGAUUUCAAAUACAAAAAAGCUGGCGAAUUUGAUUGAAAAUCGUCAUGUAACUCAAAAUUCCAAACUUACAACAGGAAAUGAAGUUACGCAAAUCGAAAGGGAAAAACUUACUUAUUUGAGGGGUGGACAGCCGCGGCAUAUCUGCAACGCCAACCUCUAGCCGCGAAGGGAAAUGGGAAAUGGGAAAUGGGGAAAUGGGAAAGACAUCAACGGCUCCGAAGACCAACUUAUGUGGCUGUUUGGAGGGAUAAAAGGGGAAUUUCAAACGUGUUGGGUCUAAAAUUAAAUAGACCCAACUCUUACACACGAGAUCGGUCCGGUCCGUUUAUGAAACACAAAAAGUAGAGGCCCGCCCAAGAAGUAAAAAAAGAAACAAAGGCCUAGUGGGUCAGCCAGAAACACAUGAAUACUAAAAAAAGAAAGUUAAAAAAAGGCGUAUCACAACGAAAGACUACGUCAGCCACACUCAUAACCUAACCUAACCUAAUCAUGAUGUUUGGGUAUAUAGAUACCAGUCAUUCUCAUUUGUCAGCCAAACUCAAUCUAUCUCAAACUCGAAAUCCAAGUAGAGAAACAAACAGAUCUCUCAACUUUCAGCUCCUCGAUCGACCAUGCCGUCGCCCUCUGUGACAAGAUCUCAUGUUCUCUGUAGCCCUCUGUGAAUUACGGAAGGCUCUGGAGACCAUGAGAUCUGAUCACAGGCAUCAGGGAAGAAGACUGGUUAUGAGGUCCAGUCACCCCAGAAGAAGACUUGCGAUAAAUCCAAAGAGCAGAAGAACCAUGGCCUGUGAAUGGCUUGAGAAGCCAGCCAGCACCACCUUUGGUGACGGGGGUCAUGAAACGCAGUGUCUUGUCUUGAUAGCUUAGAUUCAAGGGCCAAGGAUGAGUUAGGUGGUGAUGAUCGGCAUCAUCAAGGGGUGCAAUCAUCCAUUCUUUUUUUUCGAUUUUUUCUAGAAUAAUACAUUUUUGUUUUGUCUUUAAUUUUUUGUAUUUUUUUUUUUUUUUGCUGGUAUUUUUGGCAAAUACUUAAAGUAUAUAAUAUUUAUUUAUUUUCAGUGAGCUUGGGCUAGAGCGUUUCCAUUUUUUGUUCCAUUUUGGGCCUUUUGUUUUCUGUUUAAUCUGGGCUGAUUCUGGUCAGAUUGUCUUCAUGGACCUGUAAUGGGUUUUUUCUUUCUUUUUUCCGGACCAAGAGUUUUAUAAAUUUCUGAAAAACAAUAAACGUUUUCUCCCUCCGUUUUAUGUCCCUAUUGUAUCAUUUUGUAUUAAUUUUUAUUAUUCAAAACAUCAACACACAAGAAUAUACAAAAAUCAUUUUGUAAUGUUUUUGUUUUCUCAUAAUUUAUAGGUAUUUUAACAACGACCGUAUCAUUUUCUUAAUGAUCAUAUUAACAUACCAAGUUUAUAACUAACUAAUCCAGUCUGUUAAUGAACGCGCGCGAUAAUAUUAGCUCCGCAGCUUUGAGAAACCCUAACCACACUUUCUUCGGAGAAACCUAACCAGCUCUGGUCUCGCACUUCUUUGGAGAAACCCUGACCACACUUUCUUUGGAGAAACCUAACCUGCUCUGGUCUCACACCUCUUUGGUGAAAAUCUAACCUCCUCUGGUCUCACACUCUCUUUGGAGAAACUGGAGCUUCUUUCUCUAGGUACCUUCCUUUUUGAUCAAUUUUUACAUUUGAUUCUAAACAUUUCAACUUGCCUUCUAGCUAAUGUUUCACGUUGUGAAGUAUUUAUUUUGCUAGUAUAUUUAUUGAUUUUCAGAUUUGGGCUCCUAAACCCUAGUUUCCUUCUUCUUUUGGUUUAAGCUCUAGUUCAAUUUUUUGCUUUUCUGAGUUUUUUUCCUCUCACUAGUCUCACAAAAUGCACGGAUUUAAAUAAACUAUCUCACAAAAUGCACGGAUUUAAAUAAACUAUGUUCUUUUACUUUCUCUGUCAUUACUUUUGAGCAAAGCAUACAUAUUUGGGAGUAUUUUUGGGUGAAUUCGUUGGUAUUUAUUGCUGGCCUCCCUAUGCAAACAGUUGCUAUCACGCUUAAUGUGAUGUUUUAUCCUGAUGUUCUGAUUAUGAGACCAAAGUAAUUAGUGUGCAGUAACGUUUGAUUUUUCUUUGCUAUAUCUAUCCUUAGAUUCGUUGCUGCUGUUUAUUUCAAAUUUCCUUUUGUAGAUUGUUGUCUAGCUAGCUACUAGCUAGUUGAGAGCGAUAUGAAGAGGAGGAAUAUUCUUUAUCCAAUCUUUUUCAUGUCAGUUUCAUCCAGAAUUUCAACCCUGGUUUUCUUUUUCCUUAGUUUUUUGGGAUGUGCAAGGACUUUUAUUUCACGUGGUUAAGUGCUCUGUUUUAACCUUAUUUGGAUAAACAAAAUUACAAGGCAAGUUUAGCACUAAUGGAAUGGAAUUACCUUUUUUUUUAAAUCAAUUUUGCAAAAUACAUGUGUUGCUAGCUUUUGUGUUUCUGGUGUCCCAUCUCUAUCGGUGAAACUUCAUGAUUGUUCACCUGUUUGGGAAUUGAUUUUGCUCCCCACAACCAUAAAAAAUUAAAGUUGGUUUAGUCUCAUUAUAUUAUUUUGCCUUUUGAUCCAGAAAAGUGCUUAAAUAAUGGUAAGUUAGUGAGUUCAACAUCAUCAAUAGUUUGAAAAUUGAGACCUGGGGACACAUGAAAUUCCACCUGAGCAAGUAUGUUGCAAAAUUACCAGUUGCAAAAAACUGCUCAUUUGUUUUCAUGUGGUUUAUUUAGUGAGUCAGUUUAUAUUGCUCAUGUAUUAUGACUUCUCUCAUUUAUAAUUUGCUAUUUGAUUUAGUUUUGUGUUUUUUUUUUUUCAUGUGGUUUUGUACAGGAGAAUGACUACCCAAAUUUCACAUAUCAACUUUGACAAUUCCAAUUUAAAGUCUGAAAGUGUCAUCCAAAAACCCUUGUUAGAUUCAUUCAUGGAAAUAUUAAGGCUUUCGUGGCUGACCGAUGUUGUCCAAGAAGGGCAUGUAUGGAAAUGGGAGUUGGUUCACAAGGAAGGAUGUGUUAAGAGGACAGUUCCACUCUUCAUUCUCAAAGACGUAGUGGAUGAUUCAAGACAUGAAUAUGAAGAACAUUUGUUCUGCAUCUAUUGCAGCUACCCAAGAUGCAACAACAAUCUCGUCUCGAAGUGCAAGUAUCAUUUUGUAAUUUCAGCCGAUUACGAGUCCGGGGAGCAAUUGGACGAUCCUUUUGACAAGGAUGUUUACUUUUUUAAAGAUUGGACACACCUUAUACAUUGGUUGCUCAACAACAACGGGAUCGGCCGCCUCAUAUGUGUCAAUUGGAUUAAUGAGGGUUCUGCUUUCAUAACUGGUCGAGACAUCAUGCAUCUAUGGGGUUUACUUUGCCUUUAUUUUCAGGUUAGGUAAUUAUCGUUUUUAUAUUAGUUGUUUUAUAUUUUUGUUAUAUAUAAAACAUAUGAAUUGAAUUUGAUUUUGUGAUGUAUAGGAAAAUAACUGCAUGUGAUGAAGCAUGUAAAGCAUUUAGGCAUAUCACAUUGAUAGAUGGUCUCUGUGAGCCGUGCGAGGGGGCCAUGGAGACUAGGUUGUUGUUUAGUGUGGCUUUUGGUAGUAUGUGGUUUGGGAGGUUGGGAUACACGUUUCUACGUGGAAGCUAUGGGGUGUCAAGAGGUACCUACACAACCGCUAUUGGGUACCUUAGGUCUCGUUCGUUGAUUGAAGUUGAAGAAAUUGUAGGAAAAUACAAGAAGAUGUGUCUUACACCCCUAGAGUGCAUGAGAGAUUUAUUAUUUUUCGUGCUGCAGAUGAGGUGUGGCACGAGAGGCCGAAAAAGAACGGAUCUAAAUAAAGAUUUGUGGACGGUGUAUGAUGAGGUUUUAAUGAGGAGGAAAAAUCACAUCCAAACUAUCUUGAAUUGCAAAGUUUUUUGGACGUGAAUUUUCCUCAGCAUUAAAACCUCAUCAUACACCGUCCACAAAUCUUUAUUUAGAUUCGUUCUCUUUCGGCCCCUCGCGCCACACCUUAUUUGCAGCACGAAAGAUAAUAAAUCUCUCAUGCACUGUAGGGGAGUAAGGCACAUCUUCUUGUAUUUUUCUACAAUUUCUUCAACCUCGGUCAACGAAAGAGACUCAAGGGACUCAAUGGCGGUUGGGUAGGUAUCUCUUGACACCUCAUAGCUUUCACGUGGAAACGUGUAUCCCUACCUCCCAAACUAGGUACUACCAAAAGCCACAAUAAACAACAACCUAGUCUCCAUGGGCCCCUCGCACGUCUCACGGAGACCGUCUAUCAAUGUAUCCCUACCUCCCAAACUAGGUACUACCAAAAGCCACAAUAAACAACAACCUAGUCUCCAUGGGCCCCUCGCACGUCUCACGGAGACCGUCUAUCAAUGUGAUAUGCCUAAAUGCUUUACAUGCUUCAUCACAGAUAGUUAUUUUCCUAUAAAUCACAAAGUCAGAUUCAAUUAAUAUGUUUUAUAUAUAACAAAAAUAUGAAACAACUAAUAUAAAAAUGAUAAUUAUCUCGCCUGAAAAUAAAGGCAAAGUAAAUCCUAUAGAUGCAUGAUGAAAGCAGAACCCUCAUUAAUCCCAUUGAUACAUAUGAGGUGGCCGAUCCCAUUGUUGUGGAGCAACCCAUGUAAGAGGUGUGUUCAAUCUUUAAAAAAGUAAUUAUCCUUGUCAAAAAGAUUGUCCAAUUGCUUCCCGGACUCGUAAUCGGCUGGAAUUACAAAGUGAUACUUGCACUUCGAGGCGAGAUUGUUGUUGCAUCCUGAGUAGAUGCAGAACAAAUCUUCGGAUUCAUGUCUUGAAUCAUCCACUACUUCUCUUGGGUAGAAAUUUACAGCACCUAGUAUCAGCUGACUUGUUGCAUCUUGUUCCUUGAUCAAAACACAUUUGUAUGUGCUAUGCAGCAUCCCAUUCCAUAUUUUUGUUGCAAGUUACUAAAUUGUCACAUACCCUCUUUGUUGCCUUCCAGAUGCGCGUGGCAUGCAUAAGCACUUGUAAAUUGUUUCCUUGCAGCAUAAAUAUGCUAGGCUGCUCAUUUGUCUUAUCAUGAUUUAAUUAAUGUCAGAAACGGCAUAGUGGAGUCGCUGAGUGUGCAGGGAUUCUUGUUUGGAGACUCUCAUUGCAUAAUUGAUUAAACUUACUCAGUUCUGUACUUUUAAUUAGAAGACUGGUCCAUACUUACUGUACCUUGAGUAUGUUGGAUUAGUGAUCUAGGAUGCAUCUUGUAGUUGUCUAGUUUGUUUUUACGUUACCUUGUCAUAUGAGGCAUCAAUGGAUCAUUUGUUGCAAGCUACAUUUAUAAUUGUACUAGCACUACCCCCUUAGUCACAAGUUGUUAAACCUUCGUAAUUUGUCUCUUGAUCUAGUCAAUGCAGAGUAUGCAGCCAUUAGUUGGUUGACGAUCGAAAGCAUAUGGUGCAGCCAAUGAAUUCUGGAAUGAUCAUCUCUGUAGAGAGUGAAUGUUUUGUUUUGUUUUUUCUUUUCAUUUUGUUAAUGGAAAUUUCUGUAGAGCCAGAGCGUCGGCAUUGUGUGUGUACCUUCACUUCUUAAUAUUACUAUAUUCAACUUGUUAAAGUACUAUUGACACAGGAGGCCAAGAAAAAGAUCUCAGAAUCUAGGAACAUAAUUCAAUAAAAAAACAAAAAUGGUAUACAAUACAAGCAAGCACCAAGGGCUUUGAAUUAUUCUUCUGCAUAGAUGAUUCAGGUCCUGGUCUAGUUUCGUUUGGCUUCUGCUUGUCUUUCCUAUAGCACAACAGUUAGGCUGAUGUGGUAAAUUGCGGAGAUUGAGAGAGAAGGCUGCAAGCUAAAUAUUGCCUGAACUUGCCUUCCUCCGUUGCUAGCCUAGAAAAGGAAAUAAAAGGGAAAUUCAAGUAACAGUCUCCACCAUACACUACAAGAAGACAACGGAAGCACAAACAAGGUGCACUGGUUUGGAUAAGUGAUGAAUAUGCAGUUUCCGCCUCGGGGGAUUUAGGGGUCUGAUCAAGCUGUCAGCUUGCUUUGCGAGAUCAUAUUUCGAUAUCUGUGCCACUUCUCGUAUAUCUGGAAACCAGGAAGAACAGGUCUAAAUUGAGGAGCACUAGUGCAUUCCAAACAGCAGCAUCCUCUUAAAUCUUAACCUCAUUAUCAUUACAAGGCAUAAUUAGGAAAAAGUAAUGCGGCUAUACUCCUUUUUAUAAAAAAUAUAUAUAAAACAAGGCUUCACUCAUUUGACACGAUAUUCGCAUAGUCGGAAUAUUUGGGGAUGGGUGGAAUACGCAAAACAACACUUGCCCGAGCCAUUUUUAACCAAUUUUAUCACAGCUUUGAAGGUAAAAGCUUACUUUUAAAUGUGAGGGAAAGUGCAAAGUAACCAAAUGGAGUGAAGCGUAUGCAAGAACAAAUUCUUUGACAUCUUGAAACGAACCAAGAUAGGGAGAGUUGAUAUCAAUGUUUUAAAAACAAGACUUAGAUGUCGAAGGGUGUUAGAGUUUGUAUAGGAAAACACACUUCCAUUUAGUCCCACAUUGGAAGGGAGUUGUUUCCUUCUAUGGUUUAUAAGCACCAACACUUUAGAAAUAUUAAAUAGAGUAUUGGGUCUAGUGGAGGCAAAGUUGGGCCUCAUCAUGGUUUGGGCUUGAAUUAUAUAUAUAUAUAUAUUUUGUAUAAUAAAUAUAUAGUGAGUUUAAAAAAAUUAGUAUAGCCGUGCGGCUAUACUUCUUUUUUUUUUUCAUUUAAAAAUAGGAUGGCUUUACCUCUUUCACACGUGGGCCUAGGCCUCUUUGCCACGUGGGCUUAGGCCAUGGGCCGGCCUUUAUAUAUAUAAAUAUGUGUAUAUAAUAGAAUAGCCGCCUGGCUAUACUAUUUUUUUUUGAAUUUUUGAAAACAGUAUAGCCGUGCGGCUAUACUCGUUUUUUGCAUUUAAAAGUAGUAUGGCUUUACCUCUUUCACACGUGGGCUGAGGCUUCUUUGCCACGUGGGCUUAGGCCAUGGUCAGGCCUUUAUAUAUAAAUAUAUAUAUUAGUAUAGCCGCCCGGCUAUACUAUUUUUUUGAAUUUAAAAUAAAAUAGCAUAGCCGUUCGGCUAUACCCUUUUUUUCCAUUUAAAAAAUAGUAUGGCUUUACCUCUUUCCCACGUGGGCGGAGGCCUCUUUGCCACGUUGGCUAAGGCCAUGGGCCGGCCUUUAUAUAUAAAUAUAUAUAAUAGUAUAGCCGCCCGGCUAUACUCCUUUUUUCCAUUUAAAAAAUAGUAUGGUUUACCUCUUUGCCACGUGGGCUUAGGCCUCUUUGCCACGUGGGCUUAGGCCAUGGGCCAGCCUUUAUAUAUAUAUAUAUAUAUGAAUAUGUGUAUAGCCGGCCGGCUAUACCAUUUUUUUGAAUUUUUAAAAAAGUAUAGCCGUGCGGCUAUACUCGUUUUUUUGCAUUUAAAAAACAGUAUGGCUUUACCUCUUUCCCACGUGGGCUUAGGCCUCUUUGCCACGUGGGCUUAGGCCAUGGGCCGGCCUAUAUAUAUAUAUAUAUAUAUGAAUAUGUGUAUAGCCGGCCGGCUAUACCAUUUUUUUGAAUUUUUAAAAAAGUAUAGCCGUGCGGCUAGACUCCUUUUUUUGCAUUUAAAAAACAGUAUGGCUUUACCUCUUUCCCACGUGGGCUUAGGCCUCUUUGCCACGUGGGCUUAGGCCAUGGGCCGGCCUAUAUAUAUAUAUAUAUGAAUAUGUGUAUAGCCGGCCGGCUAUACCAUUUUUUUGAAUUUUUAAAAAAGUAUAGCCGUGCGGCUAUACUCCUUUUUUUGCAUUUAAAAAACAGUAUGGCUUUACCUCUUUCCCACGUGGGCUUAGGCCUCUUUGCCACGUGGGCUUAGGCCAUGGGCCGGCCUUUAUAUUUAAAUAUAUAUAAUUGUAUAGCCGCCCGGCUAUACUAUUUUUUUUUUGAAUUUUAAAAAACAGUAUAGCCGGUCGGCUAUACUCCUUUUUUGCAUUUAAAAAACAGUAUGCUUUACCUCUUUCCCACGUGGGCUUAGGCCUCGGGCCGAAAUUUAUAUAUAAAUAUAUAUAUAUAUAUAAUAGUAUAGCCGCCCGGCUAUACGAUUUUUUGAAUUUAAAAAAAAUUAGUAUGGCUACGUUUGACAACUAUUAUUGUAGCUAAGGAGACUUGCGUUUUGCUACAUUUAUAGUCAAUCACGUUCACCUCUCUCUCUCUCUCUCUCUCUCAGACCAAAUUUGACUCGCUUGCCAAAUCUUAUUGUAGUUAUUUAUUUUUCAUUUUGUCAUUAGCAUUAUUAUUAUUUUUGCGUACAGAAUAUAUUAUUGUAUUCUGGAAAAUACGUACGUAAGUGUCGAGGUUUCAAAAUACAUACGGAAAAAGGGAAACAAGACCGUGCAAAUCACAUGUCCUUUUUAAUUUUGUCUCCAACUCAUUCAAGAAUCUACAUAUUGGAAGAAAUCAAUCAAGUACCAAAACUGUCUUCCUUGUUCACCACACAAACAUUAUUUAAUUUUCGGAAAAUAUCAGAAAUAAAUAGUGGCAAAUUACAUGCUGCAAAAAGUGUAUCACGUCUGUAGCAAAGAGGAUUAAACAAGUGAAAUUACAAAACAAUUAACUCAGCUCCUGGAGGUAGUUUUUUACCUAUCUGCAAAGCACGCUUUCUUGCUGCCCUCAGUUGUUUCUGGGUUGUAACAAAUUCAGACAAUAGAGUGGAUUCUUCAACGACAACCUUUCUGAGAUCGACGAUAAACGUUUCAAGCGCAACGGCAUUCUCAGAGAAGUACAUGGCAAGCUCAGUGUCGAUACUAGACCCAACGAACCCAGAAAAUUUCACCACCUUAAGGCACUGAUGAGGACAUUUAUUAACCUUCUGCAAAUUCCUCAGACAUGGCACUCGUGCCCAUCUUAGCUGCACAAAGACACAAACAAUAGCUUAUCAAUCUACCUUAGACACGUUAAUUCCACAUAUACAAGUUUUUCAAAAACCACAGAAAAGCAAUACAACUUUUAGAAGUUUGUGUGCAUAAACAUGAAUCAACAAAAACCUUUCUGAAACCAUUAAAUAAACUUCCCAACUUUAAAUUGUAAGACAUGCUGAAAAUAAAUUUACAUCCAAUGUACAUCUAUGCAAGAAAGGAGACCGCUCUAUCAAUUUAGUCAAAUUAAGGAGGCUUUGCCGAUCACUUGCGACAACAUUCAAUGUUAAGUCCUUGAGACAAGUUAAUUCUGGAAAUUCUGGGUGCCUCACCAUUGCACUCUGACAGAUGAAAAGCAAAUUUUGAAAAUAAAGUCUAUAUAUAUAUACAUAAAAUAAUAAUAAUAAAUACUGAAUUAUUUCAUAUACUGACCAUAUUCAGAUUCAUGUCCAAGUUGAGAUUGAGAGUCACCAGCUGAGGAAGACAACUUUUAACCGGAAGAAAAGUUGGAACUAUAGACCUAGUACUUUCUGCAAGUGAUACAUUUACAAGUUCACCGGUUAUGUUUACAAAUGACAAGGAGAGGUGUUUAAGGGACUUGAUGCAGGAAACGCCGAAAGGGCUUCUAAAUGGCUUAUCUGGAAAGAUAUAACUGGCAGCUGAGGAAUACAACUUUUAACCGAAAGAAAAGGUGCAAUUAUGGACCUAGUACUUUCUGCAAGAGAUACAUUAACAAGCAAGGGUGCAUGCCUCAAACGAAUACUGUCACAGAAACCCAACAUUCCCUUAUAAAUAAAUGAUACGAGAUUAGGAGCCCAAAUCUCAACUAAUCCUAAAGACGUACACUCACUUAUUUGUAGGAAAUUCAACCGGAGUGAUGAACCAGCAACUUUCAAAUUUACUAAUUGAUCUGAGCAAGAAAUGCAGAGAUGCUCAAGGAGUUCACAGUAGGAUAGAAAGUGCUAAACAAGUUCGCCGGUUAUAUUUACAAAGGACAAAGAGAGGUGUUUAAGGGACUUGAUGCAGGAAAUACCAAAAGGGCUUCUAAAUGGCUUAUCUGGAAAGAUAUAACUGGGAGAAGAAAAACGAGACCGUCUGCCUGCUUCCAAAUCUAUCUCAAGGCCUUGAACUCUCCUCCACAUUGCAAAUUCAAUCCAAUUGUCGAUUUCAGAACUACUAGGACUGUAAUCGAGUGAGGAAGAACGAAUUUUGAAUUCAUCUAAGGAUGGACCCUGGUGCAAUUGCAAGACUUGAUUCACCCAAUUGUAACUAGAUGUUGUUUUCACUCGUUGCCUUCUUUUCUUCUGUGGUUUGGAUAAUGCAUCUAUAUCAUCGAAGUUGAGACAAGUAAUCUGUUUCCACACACAGAUCCACCUCUUAGAGAGGACACGAGUUCUUGCUGCUUCCCUGAUACCCAAUAAGGAAAGAAUGCUAAUUAGAAUGACAUCUGGUAGCUGACUGAUCUGAUCCUCCUCCGAAUAAUUAUCUUCCUUAUCACCCAAAUUGAUUGGAAUCUUUUGUCGUUUCCCAUAUGUCCAUCCAGAAUGCUUAGCCUUUCUUUUCGGCAUGGAAGUUAGAACACCCUUGUUAUUAAUUUACUCUCUUCUUAAAUAUUACAAUGUAAUGAAAUAAGCUGCAGAAGUGGAGCGAACCGAUUGUUACUAAAACCAACUAUCAAACACAUGAAAAGAAGCGAACAUCUAUAAUAAACGAAGGCGGCGAAAAAGUUGGGUUCGUGAAUACAAAUAAUCUAAGCUAGUGACUCUAGCAGUGAAACCUUAAAACAAAGAAAAGAAGACAAGGCUGCAGAUUAAAAGCUGGUGCUGGUGUUUUUCAUUCACAACAACGUUUAUGAAAUCACACUUGUAUUUGAUUCCGCGUAAAUAAAAAGCAGGGAGGAAGCCAAUAGCUGAUUAAAAGGCCCUGCUUUUCAUUCAAAACUUUGCAAUCUAGAAUUACCAAAGCAGCUACCCUAUUAUUUAUAGGCAGCAAACCGACUAAAAUCCACCAAAUCCAAAUCCAAAUCCAAACCCAAGUCCAACUGGGAAACUACAUUCCUAUUUCCCUCUUUUUAAAGGAGAAGCGGAACCUUUUCUACGUAUUUGGUACAACUACAACAUCUAUAGACAAUUUUGGAUGUAAGCCAUGGAACAUAAUUGCGCCUUUGAAAGAGUAAAUCUGACACUGAUAGGUAUUUUGAUUUCAAAAGCUGGCGAAUUUGAUUGAAAAUCGUCAUGUAACUCAAAACUCCAAACUUAUAACAGGAAAUGAAGUUACGCAAAUCGAAAGGGAAGAACUUACUUAUUUGAGGGGUGGACAGCCUCGGCAUAUCUGCAACGCCUCUAGCCGCGAAGGGAAAUGGGAAAUGGGGAAAUGGGAAAGUCAUCAACAUGGUUUACCCUGUCCCCCAGAUGGGAUCUCUGUUUUGAGCUGGCUUUCUUUACUGUUAUUUGGUUGGGGUCGAGCCAGUUUACUAAACUCCGACGGAGCCUUAGAUUUGUCUAGACUCUAGCCCUUAGUGUAAUUGGUUUCUGUCUGUGUUCUUGCCGACUCUGCCAGCUGUGUUGUAUUUGUUUCCCUUCUGGGCUGUUUUAAAUACAACCACCUCUUUCAGAACUGAAAAAUAAAAUAAAAACGACCAACUCUCUGGCGGGUUUCACCUUGAUUUUUGUUUGGAGGGGUAAAAUGGGAAUUUCAAACGUAAGUUGGGUCUAAAAUUAAAUGGACCCAACUCGGUCCGGUCCAUUUAGUAAUUCCUACACAAAACUUACAAGUAGAGGCCCGCCCAAGAAGGCUUAAAAAAAACAAAGGCCUAGCCGGUCGGCGAGAAACACAUGAAGGGCUCGUUUGGGAAUGCUUCUUUAUGAAGCGCUUAUGUAAGUAGCGCUUAUGCCAGUAGCACUUAUGACAUAAGGGCUUCUACAAAGAAGAAGUUUGUUGUUUGGAUGUUACAUUUAAAAGUGCUUUCCCAAAAUAUUAUAAUAAAUAUAGGAAAUAAAAAUUAACAGGAUUCCAAAAUAAAAACACAGCUUUUAAAAGUUGUGAAAUGUAAAGAUAGUGAUGGAUUAAUAGAAGCUUAAAGGUUUCCAUGGGUGUUUUGGCGUCUGUUGGCCUUUUCACGGGUAGUGUUUUGGUUUUAAUAGGAGAGAAAAAGUGAGGAAAAAAAAAGAAGAAAGGAAGGGUAUCUUGGCAUUUAAAAAAAAUUAAAUAUAGGUAUUUUCGGCAUUUUAAAAGUUUCAUUAAAGGGAGCCAAGUGCUUCCCUUGUUUUUGUCCUGCAACGCUUUUAAGAAGAAGCACAUCUCAAGUGCUUCUUCUAAAACCACUCCACGUGCUUUUGGAUCUCACCCAAAAAGCUUUUGCAAUUUUUGCCAAACACCAUUUUUAAAAGACAGAAGCGCUUUUACUCAUUUAGAAGCACUUUUCGCUGCUCCAAAAGCACUCCCAAACGAGCUCGAAUACUAAGAAACUAGCUUCUUCGCAUGCGCUUCUACGUCUGAGAGAGGCUUUUAAAAAAAAAAAUAAAAGAAUUAAAAAUAAUAAUAGGUAGUUGUGUUCCAUAAAAAUAUGACAUAUUAUCUAAUUUUGUUUUAAUAUGAAAAAAAAUGAAUUUACCAUAUUAUCCUCAUUUAAUUAAUACUUUCAAUUCUUAAUGUUUGAAUUAACCAAAGACAAUUUCUCUGCUAAUUUUUUUUAAAAAAAAUUUCAAAGGGUGAAAUUGGAGUGUCAAAUCUAGCUAGAACAAAAAGUUUAAUUUCUUAUAAAAAUAAUACACAUGGCAAAUUUUGUGUAAGAACCCAAACCAAAAUAUCUAAAAAUUAAGAUUUCUUUAUUCCAACCAAAAGACGAUUUUGCCCUCGCAUAUUUUAAUGGGGGAAAUUUGACUUUUUGAUCGAGAAAGAAUUUGGGAAUUCCGCUUGCACCGUUGCGUAGAGCACGGCAAAACGAGUCCGUAGACACGGAGUAGACCCGAAUCGGAGUUCUAACGAAGAAAAUACGAUCAAAAUAUCGCGAAGGGCAAAACGGUAAUUUGGAAAAAAGUCAGAUUUUUAUCCCUUUCUCUCUCUCCUCCCCUCAGCUUUCUCUCUCUUCUCUCUCUCUCUCUCUCCCUCGCGCGAGCUGUCGCCAGCUCUCCCCUUCCGAUCAACGCAGCGGCCACCACAGGGCACGCCGAUCUACGGCGUUGGUACCUUCGGCUUCGUCUCGCCGCUGCCGUCACGCCACGACCAGUCUCCGCCCACGGGACGACCGGAGCUUGCCGGAAACUGGGAGAGAACCGCCGGAUUUCACCCGAUUUUCAGUCCCUUCGUUCUCCCUCGUUUCUCAACCAAAUCAAUCGAGUGAGGUAUGGAUUUUCACCUAUUUUUCGUGCUCUAACUGAUGGUUGGCUGGGUUUAGAUCGAUUUCACCUCUAGGUUGCUCAAUUUUCGAUUUGAAAAUCGGCCGAACUUUGGCCGCCGUGAUCGGCCACUUUUUGGGGUAUGUCCAAGAACAAAAAUGACUCCAAAUGGGGUGUUUUACCUAGGAUAGGAGUUUGGGGUCUUGGUUCCGAGAUUUUUCGACGAACCCUAAUCGCUUUGGACACCCGAUCUGCCCGCGCGUGUGGCGGCGCGUGGGCGAGGGUGGUGGCAUGACUCUGGACAGUUUUGAGGUCCUCGUGCCGUCAUGAGCAAGUAGGAUUUCGCGGAUCUCGAUUCGGAGUCCGUUUGAGCCCCAAACGGAUUUUCCAUAUCGCGCGAUCCUUGGGUGCAGUGUCGUUAAAUCGUUGGAUCGCGCUGAAUUUUGGAUAUGUCGGUCUAGGUGAUUUCAGGAUCGCGUAGGAUUCGACGGAUUGCGAAUCGGAGUCCCGGAUACUCCGAAAUCGCGAAUCCUGGGGCUAGGGUUUGGAUUUUAAGCGAUAAUGCGAUUUUGGCUAAUCCGACCGUCCGUUUCGGACCGAAUUCGCGGAACAUGGUUCCCUCUCUAUGAGGAACCUUCAGGGAAGCCCAGAUUGGCCAUCGGAGAUCGUGGACCCCACGGGUCCCGGGUCGGCCGAUCUGUCAGUUUAUCGCUUAGCUGAGCGUCGGACCUUCCAAAACUGGUCCAAGUGUCUGAAAGGGAUAAUGUGGGCAUAAGAGUAACUUGAAAUGAAAUGCACGUAUUUCUAGGAGCCGGGGGCAGGGUGUUUAAUUUAAAUUCUUUUUAUCCAGCAGUUUAUUAAUUUAUUAUUCUUGGAUAAUCAGGCACCAGGAGUCCAGCUAACCCACAUGAGGGACCUUCGAAGGGUCCAGCUAGCUCGGACCAGCAGUGAGUGGACUUUUCUUUCGUAAAAGAUUUUAUAAUUAUACUUUCUAUUUGAUCUUGAAUAAAUGAUAUAACAUGAAUUUUAUUGUGAAAUAUCUUUAUUUCUAUAAAAAAUUAGCCGAAUAAACAGAUUUGAGAUUCUUGAUACAGAAAUUUGUAAUUUAACUCAGAUUUACCAGAGUAUAGAGGGUAUCAUAUUUUAUCAGAGAUAGUUGUUAUAGACCACCAUGUACCCACCCUCUAUUUGGUGAUUAUCCAGAGUUGGACCGAUGUCUACGGACAUCCAGUCCGAUUUCAGUUUAUGUCAGUGCACUUGACUUUGCCUCACGAUUUCCGGGGACGCUCGGACCGUGAGUGCCAGAAUUUGCGGCUCGGCAGACUUGGUGUCCCGAGACCUGCCAGGAUUGCGGCUCGGCUGACUCUGUGUCCCCGAGACCUGCCAGGAUUGCAGAUCAGGCUGACUACGGUCCCCUGCAUCCUGCCUGAGCGACUCGAGCUGACUUGGUGUCAUCGAGGACCUGUCGGCGGAUCAGGCUGAUCAUAGUCCCCUGAUUUCGCCAGUUUGCGGCUCGGGUAGCCUGUGUGACGCCCGAGACCUGCCAGGGAAUUGACGGCUAUCACAUGGGUACAAUUAGGUGGCAGUUUUAAAGGAUUCUUUUUAAACCUUUUUAGUGCAGUUAUUGUUUCACUCAUUUCUAUCAGUAUGUUCGAUACUCAAACAUGUGUUAUACUGAUAUAUCUUUGUUUAGUAUGUGAACAUUUAUAUAGUUAUGUUUAUCUAUGUUUAAAUUAAAUGUCUCGAGUUUGAUUAUGAUCAAAUCAUAGCUUUUAUAUCCCUAUGUUUUUCAAACGGGGGUUAUUAUGUUCUAAAUUGUUUUCACGAACAUUAUUUUUGUCCACUCACCAUUUUAACCUUGUUUUUCGCCCCCAGGCCGUAGAAGAAGGAAGGAAACCACCCGGGCCAUCAUCUUAGCUCCCGCCCCACCACCGAAGCGUAGGAUCUCGUUGUAACUUUUCUUAGUUCUGUAAAUUUGUAUAGAAAGGCUCUGAUAUCUUGUUGAACAUGAGAAACUGGAGUUGAGAUUUGUUGGUUGUAUUAAUCUGGCGGUUGGUGUAUUAUUUGAGACUGUUUGAUAGGUGGAAGAUUUUGGGUUUGGUCAAAAUACAGGGGAGACUCUGCCGAAUUUUCAGCAGAAGUCUGAGGGAAAUUUUAAAAGAAAUUGAAAAAGGAAAGGGUAAAAAGGUCAUUUGUGCCCGACAUUCGCCAGGUGUCGGACACGCACAGGAUUCGGCUCAGAUUCCAAAGAGGAAAUUGGGUCGGGUCCUGUCAUUUUGAGUAGAAGUAUCACCAGCUGACGUGAUGAUAUCGUACUAUUCUAUAAUUUUUCCAGCUGGAGGGGGAGUAUUAACUAGAAGAAAUAUGAAUUCCUUAAUUAUAGGAUCUUAUAAAUUAGAGAUUGUAAUUUACUUUCUGUACAAGACUUACCUAGAAUGGCUUAGCUAUUAAUUGUAUAAGAAUUACAUCCUAUUGUAGAUUUUAAGAUCAAAUAACAUAGAGAUGUUGUAAAGUCAACAAUGUGGAUCCCAAAAUGGCAAGCCCCACUACCCAAUUGAUUGAAGAAUAUUAAUGAUGUUUGUCUGCCAAUUAUUCGAGCGAAGCCAAAUACCUGUGAAGUGAACAGCCAAUGUCUUUGGCUUAUAAAUAGAUACCUCCAUCAGGAGAAGAGGGCGCUUAGAGAAGAGGAAGAGAAGGAAGAAAGAACGUGAGUGAGUGGAGAGGAAAGAUAGCAGAGAGAAAUUCUCAAAGAGAGAAAAUUCAGUGAGCCACACAUAUUGUAAACACUAAAGUUGUAGCCCUAUUAUUUUAUAUAGUAGAAAAGUUACUACUGCUGCUCCGAGGACGUAGGCAUAACCGAACCUCGUUAAAUGUUGUGUCUCAUCUACUUUACGUGCAGCUCAAUAUUCACACAUAUUCCAGUUCAUUUUAUAACAAGAGAGAUAUUCUCCCUAGCAAUCUCCUUAUUUUUCUAACAGUAACAAACAACUUGGGAUUCCCCACCCCUUUUUUUCCGCCUAGCUUCAUUCAGGGCCUUUUUAAACUUUAUUUUCCUCUUCCAUACUAUUUAGAUCUUUUCCCCUUCACCCGUCUCAUGGCCCGACAAAGUGGUGACUGACUGGAUUAAAUAUACAGUGAAGAUUCCUCCCCUUGUUUCUUCUACGACAAAGUGGUGUCUAGAUUAACAGCUUCCUCUAAACUGGAAUCAACACCAAUACGAUGUCAGCUUUGCAUAUAGGGCUUCUGUACAUAUUGAUAUACGGAAUUGUUAUUUAUUUCCUGAAUAGAAAAAUGGGCUGAAAAAAUCAUAACUAUACUUAACAAUGUUGCUUUUGCUAAUUCGAAUUGAAGGGUGAUAUAAAAUCGGUCUAUUUCCGGCAUCAUACCCAUAGUUAGCGCAUUCAUCAUAGUUAGAAGCUCUAGCUCCGUAUCAAAGUCACGGUCGUCACUAUCAUCAAGUACAUAUCCCGUGUACAUCUAAGUACUGCUGUUCUUAAAUCUAGCUGCCUAGAACUCCAACAGAAACACACAAUGUCCCAUGAACGUAAUGAACCAAAACAAGAUCCAUACAAAAAGUCAUAGGCCAAAGAGUAGCUAAGCAGCUAGAUUUAAGAACUUAUAAUAGUGAAGAUUUCCACGUCUUCUCCAACAAUCGUUGGUCAUCACGACCAUACAUUAUUUCAAUUUCCGAAUAUGUCAGAAAUAAAUAGUAGCAAAUUACAUGCUGCAAGAAAGUCUGUAGCAAAGAGGACUAAACAAGUGAAAUCACACAACAAUUAACUCAGCUCCUGGAGGUAGUUUUUCUCCAAUCUGCAAGGCCCGCUUUCUUGUUGCCCUCAUUUUUUUCUGGGUUGUAACAAAUUCAGACAAUGGAGUGGAUUCUUCAACGACAACCUUUUUGAGAUCGAUGAUAAACGUCUCAAGCGCAACGGCAUUCUCAGUGAAGUACGUGGCAAGCUCAGUGUCGAUAAUAGACCCAACGAACCCAGAAAAUUUCACCACCUUAAGGCACUGAUGAGGACAUUUAUUAACCUUCUGCAUAUUCCUCUGACACGAGUCACGUACCCAUCUUAACUGCACGAGGACAUAACAAAAGCUUACGAAUCUACCUUGGAAAGUUGAUUCCACAUAAAUCAAUUACAAUUCACAGUUCUCAAACCAUUAUAUAAACUUCCCAACUAUUAAAAUUUUAAGAUAUACUGAAAAUAAAUUUACCUUCAAUGUAAAUCUAUGCAAGAAAGGUGACCGCUCUAUCAGUUUAGUCAAAGCAAGGAGGCUUAGCCGAUCAGUUGCGAUAACACUCAACGAUAAGUCCUUGAGACAAGUAAAUUCUGGAAAUUCUGGGAGCCACACCCCUCCUCUCUGAAAGAUGAAAAGUUAAAGUCAAAAUUUGGAAUAUAUAUAUAUAUAUAUAUAUAUAUAUGUACAUAAAUAAACAUUGAAUUAUUUCAUAUACCGACCGAAUUCAGAUUCAUGUGCAUGUUGAGAGUCACCAGCUGAGGAAUGCAACUUUUAACCGAAAGAAAAGGUUCAAUUAUAGACCUAGUACUUUCUGCAAGAGAUACAUUAACAAGCAAGGGUGCAUGCCUCAAUCGAAUACUGUCACAAUAACCCAACAUUCCCUUAUAAAUAAAUGACACGAGAUUAGGAGCCCAAAUCUCAACUAAUCCUAAAGACGUACACUCACUUAUUUGUAGGAACUUCAACCGGAGUGAUGAACCAGCAACUUUCAAUUUUACUAAUUGAUCUGAGCAAGAAAUGCAGAGAUGCUCAAGGAGUUCACAGUAGGAUAGAAAGUGCUCAACAAGUUCGCCGGUUAUAUUUACAAAGGACAAAGAGAGGUGUUUAAGGGACUUGAUGCAGGAAAUACCAAAAGGGCUUCUAAAUGGCUUAUCUGGAAAGAUAUAACUGGGAGAAGAAAAACGAGACCGUCUGCCUGCUUCCAAAUCUAUCUCAAGGCCUUGAACUCUCCUCCACAUUGCAAAUUCAAUCCAAUUGUCGAUUUCAGAACUACUAGGACUGCAAUUGAGUGAGGAAGAACGAAUUUUGAAUUCAUCUAAGGAUGGACCAUGGUGCAAUUGCAAGACUUGAUUCACCCAAUUGUAACUAGAUGUUGUUUUCACUCGUUGCCUUCUUUUCUUCUGUGGUUUGGAUAAUGCAUCUAUAUCAUCGAAGUUGAGACAUGUAAUCUGUUUCCACACAUAGAUCCACCUCUUAGAGAGGACACAAGUUCUUGCUGCAUCCCUAAUACCCAAUAGGGAAAGAAUGCUGAUUAGAAUGACAUCCGGUAGCUGACUGAUCUGAUCCUCCUCCGAAUAAUUCUCUUCCUUAUCAACCAAAUUGAUUGGAAUCUUUUGUCGUUUCCCAUAUGUCCAUCCAGAAUGCUUAGCCUUUCUUUUCGGCAUGGAAGUUGGAACACCCUUGUUAUUAAUUUACUUUCUUCUUAAAUAUUACAAUGUAAUGAAAUAAGCUGCAGAAGUGGAGCAAACCGAUUAUUACUAAAACCAACUAUCAAACAGAUGAAAAGAAGCGAUCAUCUAUAAUAAACGAAGAAGGCGAAAAAGUUGGGUUCGUGAAUACAAGUAAUCUAAGCAACCUUAAAAACAAAGAAAAGAAGACAAGACUGCAGAUGAAAAGCUGGUGCUGGUGUUUUUCAUUCACAACAACGUUUAUAAAAUCACACUUGUAUUUGAUUCUGCGUAAAUAAAAAAGCAGGGAGGGAGCCAAUAGCUGAUUUAAAAGCCCCUGCUUUUCAUUCAAAAUUUUGCAAUCUAGAAUUACUAAAGCAGCUACCCUAUUAUUUAUAGGCAGCAAACCGACUAAAAUCCACCAAAUCCAAAUCCAAGUCCAACUGGGAAACUACAUUUCUAUUUCCCUCUUUUUGAAGGAGAAGCGGAACCUUUUCUACUUAUUUGGUACAACUACAACAUCUAAAGAAAAUUUUGGAUGUAAGCCAUGAAACAUAAUUGCGCCUUUGAAAGAGUAAAUCUGACACUGAUAGGUAUUUUGAUUUCAAAUACAAAAAAGCUGGCGAAUUUGAUUGAAAAUCGUCAUGUAACUCAAAAUUCCAAACUUACAACAGGAAAUGAAGUUACGCAAAUCGAAAGGGAAAAACUUACUUAUUUGAGGGGUGGACAGCCGCGGCAUAUCUGCAACGCCAACCUCUAGCCGCGAAGGGAAAUGGGAAAUGGGAAAUGGGGAAAUGGGAAAGACAUCAACGGCUCCGAAGACCAACUUAUGUGGCUGUUUGGAGGGAUAAAAGGGGAAUUUCAAACGUGUUGGGUCUAAAAUUAAAUAGACCCAACUCUUACACACGAGAUCGGUCCGGUCCGUUUAUGAAACACAAAAAGUAGAGGCCCGCCCAAGAAGUAAAAAAAGAAACAAAGGCCUAGUGGGUCAGCCAGAAACACAUGAAUACUAAAAAAAGAAAGUUAAAAAAAGGCCUAUCACAAUGAAAGACUAUGUCAGCCACACUCAUAACCUAACCUAACCUAAUCAUGAUGUUUGGGUAUAUAGAUACCAGUCAUUCUCAUUUGUCAGCCAAACUCAAUCUAUCUCAAACUCGAAAUCCAAGUAGAGAAACAAACAGAUCUCUCAACUUUCAGCUCCUCGAUCGACCAUGCCGUCGCCCUCUGUGACAAGAUCUCAUGUUCUCUGUAGCCCUCUGUGAAUUACGGAAGGCUCUGGAGACCAUGAGAUCUGAUCACAGGCAUCAGGGAAGAAGACUGGUUAUGAGGUCCAGUCACCCCAGAAGAAGACUUGCGAUAAAUCCAAAGAGCAGAAGAACCAUGGCCUGUGAACGGCUUGAGAAGCCAGCCAGCACCACCUUUGGUGACGGGGGUCAUGAAACGCAGUGUCUUGUCUUGAUAGCUUAGAUUCAAGGGCCAAGGAUGAGUUAGGUGGUGAUGAUCGGCAUCAUCAAGGGGUGCAAUCAUCCAUUCUUUUUUUUCGAUUUUUUCUAGAAUAAUACAUUUUUGUUUUGUCUUUAAUUUUUUGUAUUUUUUUUUUUUUUUGCUGGUAUUUUUGGCAAAUACUUAAAGUAUAUAAUAUUUAUUUAUUUUCAGUGAGCUUGGGCUAGAGCGUUUCCAUUUUUUGUUCCAUUUUGGGCCUUUUGUUUUCUGUUUAAUCUGGGCUGAUUCUGGUCAGAUUGUCUUCAUGGACCUGUAAUGGGUUUUUUCUUUCUCUUUUCCGGACCAAGAGUUUUAUAAAUUUCUGAAAAACAAUAAACGUUUUCUCCCUCCGUUUUAUGUCCCUAUUGUAUCAUUUUGUAUUAAUUUUUAUUAUUCAAAACAUCAACACACAAGAAUAUACAAAAAUCAUUUUGUAAUGUUUUUGUUUUCUCAUAAUGUAUAUGUAAUUUAACAACGACCGUAUCAUUUUCUUAAUGAUCAUAUUAACAUACCAAGUUGAUAACUAACUAAUCCAGUCUGUUAAUGAACGCGCGCGAUAAUAUUAGCUCCGCAGCUUUGAGAAACCCUAACCACACUUUCUUCGGAGAAACCUAACCAGCUCUGGUCUCGCACUUCUUUGGAGAAACCCUGACCACACUUUCUUUGGAGAAACCUAACCUGCUCUGGUCUCACACCUCUUUGGGGAAACCCUAACCUCCUCUAGUCUCACACUCUCUUUGGAGAAGCUGGAGCUUCUUUCUCCAGGUACCUUCCUAUUUGAUCAAUUUUUACAUCUGAUUCUGAACAUUUCAACUUGCCUUAUAGCUAAUGUAUCAUGUUGUGAAGUAUUUAUUUAGCUAGUAUAUUUAUUGAUUUUCAGAUUUGGGCUCCUAAACCCUAGUUCCCUUUUUCUUCUUUUGGGCAGCACAAUUUUACUUAUGCGGAGGUUAAUGUUUUCUGUAACAUGCUUUAUUAUUGUUGUGGCCUUUAACCAACUUUGGAGCAUUAAGUGGGCCUUGCUGCAAGCCUUUAAGAAUUUGGCAAUGACCAUUAUUUUUACAGAUUUAAGUGAGUUUGGAUUGUCACCGGUUGAUCAAUUAUGCUGACAAGGGGUGAAUUCCAUCAUUAGCCCAUUUUUGUUUGCUAUCCUAUUUGUCCUGAAACUAUUUUGAUCAACCAUGAAUUUGGCAAUGACCAUUAUUUUUACAGAUUUAAGCGAGUUUGGAUUGUCCCUGGUUGAUCGAUUAUGCUCACAACAAGGGGUGAAUUCCAUUGUUAGCCCACUUUUGUUUGCUAUGCUAUGUGUCUGUGAAGAAACUAUUUUGAUCAACUUUGAGAUUUGUUGAAAAUUUUGUAUUUCUUGUAGUGCAGUUUGCCACAUUUAUAGUCAAUCAUGCUCUCUCUCUCUCUCUCUCUCUCUCUCUCUCUCUCUCUCUCUCUCACUCUCACACAUACACACAGACCAAAUUUGAUUCACUUGCCAAAUCUUAUAACGUUGGGAGAUUUGGAAUUUGGUUUUUAGCAUCAUCCUUCCACCAAUUCAAUGCUCUAUGAGAAGUCAUGUUAAAUGAGCCUUGGAGAAAGCCUUCAUGAACUUAAGUUUAUAGGUUUUUUUGGCUAUUCAUUUUAAUAGAUUACUUCAUUUGUAUUUUUGAAUUGUUCAAGUUUUCUCUAACCAUUCUUGUUUCAUGGUUGCUGAUGUUGUUGAACACUUCAUUCUCAAAAUUGAUAAGUAUAUAGAUUAACACAACAUAUGCUUACAUUCAAUUCCAAGAAAGGACUUUGGUUGAUGUAUUUUUUCUUGGUGAAGAAUAAAGUAGAUACUGUGGAACUUGCUUGGACUCUUGGAUAGAAAUUUACAGCACCUAGUAUCAGCUGACUUGUUAUCAUGUUGCAUCCUGUCCUCGAUAUAAACACAUUUGUAUGUGCUAUGCAGUUGGCUAACUGGUCUCGCACCUCUUUGGAGAAACCCUGACCACACUUUCUUUGGAGAAACCUAACCUGCUUUGGUCUCACACCUCUUUGGGGAAACCCUAACCUCCUCAGGUCUCACACUCUCAUUGGAGAAACUGGAGCUUCUUUCUCUAGGUACUUUCCUAUUUGAUAAAUUUUUACAUUUGAUUCUAAACAUUUCAACUUGCCUUCUAGCUAAUGUUUCAAGUUGUGAAGUAUUUAUUUAGCUAGUAUAUUUAUUGAUUUUCAGAUUUGGGCUCCUAAAUCCUAGUUCCCUUCUUCUUUUGGUUGUUUCUUUCUUUUGGUUCAAUUUUUUGCAUUUCUGAGUUUUUUUUUUUCUCACUAGUCUCACAAAAUGCCCGGAUUUAAAUAAAGUAUGUUCUUUUACUUUCUCUGUCAUUGCAUUUUGAGCAAAGCAUACAUAUUUGGGAGUAUUUUUGUGUGAAUUUGUUGGUAUUUUUGCUGACCUCCCUACCUGUGUUCCUUGUGUAAACGUUUUCUUUGGUAACUGUUAGUUGUUAAAAUAUUUAUUUAGCUAGUUGAUUUAUUGGUUUACAUUGCUCAUUUGUCUUUCUCCACUUUUUUCUAUCACAAUUUUAUACGGUUUAUUUAGCUAGUCAGUUUAUAAUAUUGCUCAUGUAUUAUGACUUAUCUCAUUUAUAAUUAGUUAUUUGAUUUAGUUUUGUGGUUUUUUUCAUGUGGUUUUGUAUUUAUUUAGCUAAUGUAGUUACCUUCUUCUUCUUUUGGAUGUUUCUUUCUUUUGGUUUAAGCUCUAGUUCAAUUUUUUGCUUUUCUGAUAUUUUUUUUCUCACUAGUCUCACAAAAAUGCACGGAUUUAAAUAUACUUUUCGUUUUCUUUGGUAACUGUUACUUGAUAAAGUAUUUAUUUAGCUAAUUGAUUUAUUGGUUUACAUUGCUCAUUUGUCUUUCUCCACUUUUUUCUAUCACAAUUUUAUAUGGUUUAUUUAGUUAGUCAGUUUAUAAUAUUGAUCAUGUAGUGUGACUUAUCUCAUUUAUAAUUAGCUAUUUGAUUUAGUUUUGUGGUUUUUUUCAUGUGGUUUUUUAUUUAUUUAGCUAAUGUUUAGCUGACACUAGUUCAAUUUUUUGCAUUUCUGAGUUUUUUUUUCUCACUAGUCUCGCAAAAUGCACGGAUUUAAAUAGACUAUAUUCUUUUACUUUCUCUGUCAUUACUUUCGAGCAAAGCAUACAUAUCUGGGAGUAUAUUUUGUGUGAAUUUGUUGGUAUUUAUUGCUGGCCUCCCUACUUGUGUUGCUUGCGUAAACGUUUUCUUCGAUAACUGUUACUUGUUAAAGUAUUUAUUUAGCUAGUUGAUUUAUUGGUUUACAUUGCUCAUUUGUCUUUUUCCACUUUUUUCUAUCACAAAUUUAUACGGUUUAUUUAGCUAGUCAGUUUAUAUUGCUCAUGUAUUAUGACUUAUCUUAUUUAUAAUUAGCUAUUUGAUUUAGUUUUGUGGUUUUGUAUUUAUUUAGCUAAUGUUUCACUGACCGCACUUCCCUUCUGCUCCUUUUGGUUGUUUCUUUCUUUUGGUUUAAGCUCUAGUUCAAUUUUUUGCAUUUCUGAGUUUUUUUUCUCACUAGUCUCACAAAAUGCACGGAUUAAAAUAAACUAUGUUCUUUUACUUUCUCUGUCAUUACUUUUGAGCAAGGGAUACAUAUUUGGGAGUAUUUUUGUGUGAAUUUGUUGGUAUUUAUUGCUGGCCUGGCCUCCCUACUUGUGUGGCUUGCGUAAACGUUUUCUUUGAUAACUGUUACUUGUUAAAGUGUUUACUUAGCUAGUUGAUUUAUUGGUUUACAUUGCUCAUUUGUCUUUCUCCGCUUUUUUCUAUCACAAUUUUAUACAGGUUAUUUAGCUAGUCAGUUUAUAAUAUUGCUCAUGUAUUAUGACUCAUCUCAUUUAUAAUUAGCUAUUUGAUUUAGUUUUGUGGUUUUUUUCGUGUGGUUUUGUAUUUAUUUAGCUAAUGUUUCACUGACACUAGUUCAAUUUUUUGCAUUUCUGGUUUUUUUUUCUCACUAGUCUCACAAAAUGCACGGAUUUAAUAUAAACUAUGUUCUUUUACUUUCUCUGUCAUUACUUUCAAGCAAAGCAUACAUAUCUGGGAGUAGUGUGAAAUUUGUUGGUAUUUAUUGCUGGCCUCCCUACUUGUGUUGCUUGCCUAAACGUUUUCUUUGAUAACUGUUACUUGUUAAAGUAUUUAUUUAGCUAGUUGAUAUAUUGGUUUACAUUGCUCAUUUGUCUUUCUCCACUUUUUUCUAUCACAAAUUUAUACGGUUUAUUUAGCUAGUCUGUUUAUAUUGCUCAUGUAUUAUGACUUAUCUCAUUUAUAAUUAGCUAUUUGAUUUAGUUUAGUGGUUUUGUAUUUAUUUAGCUAAUGUUUCACUGGCCGUAGUUCCCUCCUCCUCCUUUUGGUUGUUCCUUUCUUUUGGUUUAAGCUCUAGUUCAAUUUUUUGCAUUUCUGAGUUUUUUUUCUCACUAGUCUCACAAAAUGCACGGAUUUAAAUAAACUAUGUUCUUUUACUUUCUCUGUGAUUACUUUCGAGCAAAGCAUACAUAUUUGGGAGUAUAUUUUGUGUGAAUUUGUUGAUAUUUAUUGCUGGCCUCCCUACUUGUGUUGCUUGCGUAAACGUUUUCUUUGAUAACUGUUACUUGUUAAAGUAUUUAUUUAGCUAGUUGAUUUAUUGGUUUACAUUGCUCAUUUGUCUUUCUCCACUUUUUUCUAUCCCAAUUUUUUAUGGUUUAUUUAGCUAGUCAGUUUAUAAUAUUAAUCAUGUAGUGUGACUUAUCUCAUUUAUAAUUAGCUAUUUGCUUUAGUUUUGUUAUUUUUUUCGUGUGGUUUUGUAUUUAUUUAGCUAAUGUUUCGCUGAUAGUAGUUCCCUUCUUCUUUUGGUUGUUUCUUUCUUUUGGUUUGAGCUCUAGUUCAAUUUUUUGCUUUUCUGAGUUUUUUUUCUCACUGGUCUCACAAAAUGCACGGAUUUAAAUAAACUAAGUUCUUUUACUUUCUCUGUCAUUACUUUUGAGCAAGGGAUACAUAUUUGGGAGUAUUUUUGUGUGAAUCUGUUGGUAUUUAUUGCUAUCCUCCCUACUUGUGUUGCUUGCGUAAAUGUUUUCUUUGAUAACUGUUACUUGUUAAAGUGUUGACUUAGCUAGUUGAUUUAUUGGUUUACAUUGCUCAUUUGUCUUUCUCCGCUUUUUUCUAUCACAAUUUUAUACGGUUUAUUUAGCUAGUCAGUUUAUAAUAUUGCUUAUGUAUUAUGACUUAUCUCAUUUAUAAUUAGCUAUUUGAUUUAGUUUUGUGGUUUUUUUUCAUGUGGUUUUGUAUUUAUUUAGCUAAUGUUUCACUGACAGUUCUUUUGGUUUAAGCUCUAGUUCAAUUUUUUGCAUUUCUGAGUUUUUUUUUCUCACAAGUCUCACAAAAUGCACGGAUUUAAAUAAAGUAUGUUCUUUUACUUUCUCUAUGUUCUUUUACUUUCUCUAUGUUCUUUUACUGUCUCUGUCAUUACUUUUGAGCAAAGCAUACAUAUCUGGGAGUAUAUUUUGUGUGAAUUUGUUGGUAUUUAUUGCUGGCCUCCCUACUUGUGUUGCUUGCGUAAACGUUUUCUUUGAUAACUGUUACUUGUUAAAGUAUUUAUUUAGCUAGUUGAUUUAUUGGUUUACAUUGCUCGUUUGUGUUCCUCCACUUUUUUCUAUCACAUUUUUAUACGGUUUGUUUUGCUAGUCAGUUUAUAUUGCUCAUGUAUUAUGACUUAUCUCAUUUAUAAUUAGCUAUUUGAUUUAGUUUUGUGGUUUUUUUCAUGUGGUUUUGUAUUUAUUUAGCUAAUGUUUCACUUACAGUUCCCUUCUUCUUCUUUUGGUUUAAGCUCUAGCUCAAUAUUUUGCAUUUCUGAGUUUUUUUUCUCACUAGUCUCACAACGUGCACGGAUUUAAAUUAACUAUGUUCUUUUACUUUCUCUGUCAUUACUUUGGAGCAAAGCAUAUAUAUUUGGGAGUAUUUUUGUGUGAAUUUAUUGGUAUUUAUUGCUGGCCUCCCUACCUUUGUUCCUUGUGUAAACAUUUUCUUUGAUACUGUUACUUGUUAAAGUAUUUAUUUAGCUAGUUGAUUUAUUGGUUUACACUGCUCAUUUGUCUUUCUCCAGGUUUUUCUAUAACAAUUUUAUAUGGUUUAUUUGGUGAGUCAGUAUAUAUUGCUCAUGUAUUAUGAAUUAUCUCAUUUAUAAUUAACUAUUUGAUUUAGUUUUGUGUUUUUUCUGAUGUGGUUUUGUACAGGAGAAUGACUACCCAAAUUUCACAUAUCAACUUCGACAAUUGCAAUUUCAAGUCAAAAAGUGUCAUCCAAAAACCCUUAUUGGAUUCAUUCAAGGAGAAUAUUGAGGAUUUUGUGGAGGACUGUGAUGUUGUCCAAGAAGGGUGUGUAUGGAAAUGGGAGUUCGUUCACAAGGAAGGAUGUAUUAAGAGGACAGUUCCACUCUUCAUUCUCAAAGAGGUAGUGGAUGAUUCAAGACAUAAAUCCGGAGAAGAUCCGUUUUGCAUCUACUGCAGCUACUCAGGAUGCAACAACAAUGUCGUCUCGAGGAGCAAGUAUCACUUCGUAAUUCCAGCGGAUUACGAGUCUUUGGAGCAGCAAUUGGACGAUCCUUUUGACAAGGAUGAUCACGUUUUUAAAGAUCGGACACACCUCUUACAUGGGUUGCUCCACAUCAACGGGAUCGGCCACCUCAUAUGUAUCAAUGGGAUUGAUGGGGGUUCUGCUUUCAUCCCUGGUCGAGACAUCAUGCAUCUAUGGGAUUUACUUUGCCUUUAUUUUCGUGCGAGGUAAUUCUCGUUUUUAUAUUAGUUGUUUCAUAUUUUUGUUACAUAUAAAACAUAUGAAUUGAAUCUGAUUUUGUGAUUUAUAGGAAAAUAACUGUCCGCGAUGAAGCAUGUAAAACAUUUAGGCAUAUCUCAUUGAUAGACGGUGUCCGUGAGACGUGUGAGGGGGCCAUGGUGACUAGGUUGCUGUUCAGUGUGGCUUUUGGUAGUACUUGGUUUGGGAGGUGGGGAUACACGUUUCUACGUGGAAGCUAUGGAGUAUCGAGAGAUACCUACACGACUGCUAUUGAGUCCCUUGGGUCUCAUCCAUUGACUGAGGUUGAAGAAAUUGUAGAAAAAUACAAGAAGAAGUCCCUUACUCCCCUAGAGUGCAUGAAAGAUUUAUUAUCUUUCAUGCUGCAGAUGAGGUGUGGCACGAGAGGCCAAAAGAAAAUGGAUCUAAAUAAAGAUUUGUGGACGGUGUAUGAUAAGGUUUUAAUGAGGAGGAAAAAUCACGUCCAAACCAUCUUGAAUUGCAAAGUCUUUUGCAAGGAAAUCCCGUUGAGGCAAAUGUCAGCUGAAUGUUUAACAGUUACCUUUGUGGUGAGAGAUGCAGAUGACAAUGAGUUGCCGGGAAUGGUUGGCUGCGAGUGUACCACACUCCCCGUAAAUGAUGUGGCUGAUUUAAAGGGUCGAGUUACUCGUUUAAUUCAAGGUACAUAUCAUGCACUCUCCAAUUUCACCAUCACCGAAAUGGAAGGAGAGGGAACGGAUGAAUUGAAAGAGAAUAUGUGGGUGAAGGGUGAUGGGGCAGACAUGGAUUGCAACUAUGUAGCUGAAGGUGGACGGGGAUGGCUAGUGACUUGUAUCUGUGGAGCAGAGGAUGAUGAUGGAGAGGAUAUGGUUGAGUGUGAUACCUGCAAGAAAUGGAAGCACAUCGAGUGCCUCAUUAAUGAUGGUUUUAAACUUGAAGAUAAUGCUGGUUUUAUUUGUUUGGAAUGUUCGACCCCAAGGCAUUGAGGAGAAAAUUGGUAAGAGGUUUCUGAAAUUUCAUUUCACACUUUAUCUGUCUCACAAUGUUUGGUUGUUUGUUUUGAAAGAAAAGGUGCUUUUAUGCAUUUGAUGAUGCCUACAAGAAAUUAAGAUUUGUGAUAUUGCUUUAGCAUCUUCUAAUUGUUUUAUGCUUUAGUCUGGGGGCAUUUGGUUGGGCAGCACAGUUUUACUUAUACGGAGGUUAAUGUUUUCUGUAACAUGCUUUAUUAUUGUUGUGGCCUUUAACCAACUUUGUAGCAUUAAGUGAGCCUUGCUGCAAGCCUUUAAGAAUUUGGCAAUGACCGUUAUUUUUACAGAUUUAAGUGAGUUUGGAUUGUCACUGGUUGAUCAAUUAUGCUGACAAGGGGUGAAUUCCAUUAUUAGCCCAUUUUUGUUUGCUAUCCUAUUUGUCCUGAAACUAUUUUGAUCAACAUGAAUUUGGCAAUGACCAUUAUUUUUACAGAUUUAAGUGAGUUUGGAUUGUCCCUGGUUAAUCGAUUAUGCUGACAACAGGGGGUGAAUUCCAUUAUUAGCCCAUUUUUGUUUGCUAUCCUAUUUGGCGUGAAGAAACUAUUGAUCAACUUUGAGAUUUGUUGAAAAUUUUGUAUUUCUUGUAGUGCAGUUUGCUACAUUUAUAGUCAAUCAUGCUCUCUCUCUCUCUCUCUCUCUCUCUCUCUCUCUCUCUCUCUCUCUCUCUCACACAUACACACAGACCAAAUUUGAUUCACUUGCCAAAUCUUAUAAUGUUAGGAGAUUUGGAAUUUGGUUUUUACAUCAUCCUUCCACCAAUUCAAUGCUUCAUGAGAAGUCAUGCUAAAUGAAUCUUGGAGAAAGCUUUCAUGAACUUAAGUUUAUAGGUUUUUUUGGCUGUUCAUUUUAAUAUAUGACUUCAUUUGUUUUUUUGAAUUGUUCAAGUUUUCUCUAAUCAUUCUUGUUUCAUGGUUACUGAUGUUGAACACUUCAUUCUCAAAAUUGAUGAGUAUAUAGAUUAACACGACAUAAACUUACAUUCAAUUCCAACAAAGGACUUUGGUUGAUGUAUGUUUUCUUGGUGAAGAAUAAAGUAGAUACAGUGGAACUUGCUUGGACUCUUGGGUAGAAAUUUGCAACACCUAGUAUCAGCUGACUUGUUAUCAUGUUGCAUCCUGUUCCUUGAUCAAAACACGUUGUAUGUGCUAUGCAGCUGGCUAACUGGAUGUAGCAUCGCAUUCCUUAUUGUUUUCGUUGCAAGUUACUAAAUUGUCACAUAUCCUCUUUGUUGCCUUGCAGAUGUGUGUGUGGCAUGCAUAAGUACUUGUAAAUUGUUUCCUUGCAGCAUAAAUAUGCUAGGCUGCUUAUUUGUCGUAACAUGAUUUGAUUUAAUUAAUGGCAGGAACGGCAUGGUGGAGUCGCUGAGUGUGCAGGGAUUCUUGUUUGGAGACUCUCAUUGCAUAAUUGACUAAACUUAGUUCUGUACUUUUAAUUAGAAGAUUGGUCCAUACUGUACGCUUGAAUAUGUUGGAUUAGCGAGCCAGGAUGCAUCUUGUAGUUGUCUAGUUUGUUGUUUGUUUUUACGUUACCUUGUCGCAUGAGGCAUCAAUGGCUCAUUUGUUGCAAGCUACAUUUAUAAUUGUAUUAGCACUACCCCUUAGUCACAAGUUGUUAAACCUUCGUAUUUUGGCUCUUGAUCUGGUCUACGCAUGAAUGCAAAGUAUGCAGCCAUUAGUUGGUUGACGAUCAAAAGCAUAUGGUGCAGCCAAUGAAUUCUGGAAAGAUCGAUCUCUGUAGAGAGUGAAUGUUUUGUUAUUUUUCUUCUUUUCAUUUUGUUAAUGGAAAUUUCUGUAGAGCCAGAGCAAUUUGUUAAGAACAAUAGACUAUAUUCAACUUGUUAAGAACAAUUGACAGAGGAGGCAAAGAAACUCAAGGAUGCAAUGACGCAUGAAAACCGUUGGACAUUAACAACGAGCCAUUGCGCAUCACAGACCGCUGGACAGAUUGUCUCAUUUAUGAAAUAAUGUCACACUUUGUUGUCGACAUUACAGUAUUUGAAUAUGCAAGUUCCUUUCAAGAUUUAGGGAACAUAAUUCAAUAAAAACAAAACAAAAAACAAAAAUGGUACACAAUACAAGCAAGCCCCAAGAGUUGGGUCCUGGUCUCGUUCCGUUUGUCUUUCCUAUAGCACAACAGUUAGGCUGAUGUAGUAGAUUGUGGAGAUUGAGAGAGAAGGCUGCAAGCUGAAUAUUGCCGAACUUGCCUUCCUCCGUUGCUAGCCUAGAAAAGAAAAUAAAAGGGAAAUUCAAGUAACAGUCUCCGCCAUACACUGCAACAAGACAACGGAAGCACAAACAAGGUGCACUGGUUUGGAUAAGUGAUGAAUAUGUAGUUUCUGCCUUGAGGGAUUUAGGGGUCUGAUCAAGCUGUCAACUUGCUUUGCGAGAUCAUAUCUCGAUAUCUGGGCCACUUCUCGUCUCUCUGGAAACCAGGAAGAACAGAUCUAAAUUGAGGAGCACUAGUGCAUUCCAAACAGCAGCAUCCUCUUAAAUCUUAACCUCAUUAUCAUUACAAGGCAUAAUUAGGAAAAAGUAAUGCAUAUACCUUCAUGGCUACGUUUGACAACUAUCAUUGUAGCUAAGGAGACUUGGGUUUUGCUACCAGUUAUAGUCAAUCAUGUUCACCUCUCUCUCUCUCUCUCUCUCUCUCUCUCAGACCAAAUUUGACUCACUUGCCAAAUCUUAUUGUAGUUAUUUAUUUUUCAUUUUGUCAUUAGCAUUAUUAAUUUUUUUGCACACAGAAUAUAUUAUUGUAUUCUAAAAUGGAAAACAAGACCAUGCGAAUCACAUGUCCUUCUUCAUUUUGUCUCCAACUCAUUCAAGAAUCUACAUAUUGGAAGAAAUCAAUCAAGUACCUAAACUGCCAUCCUUGUUCACCACACAAACAUUAUUUCAAUUUCGGAAAAUGUCAGAAAUAAAUAGUAGCAAAUUACAUGCUGCAAAAAGUGUAUCACGUCUGUAGCAAAGAGGAUUAAACAAGUGAAAUUACAAAACAAUUAACUCAGUUCCUGGAGGUAGUUUUUUACCCAUCUGCAAAGCACGCUUUCUUGCUGCCCUCAAUUGUUUCUGGGUUGUAACAAAUUCAGACAAUAGAGUGGAUUCUUCAACGACAACCUUUCUGAGAUCGACGAGAAACGUUUCAAGCGCAACGGCAUUCUCAGUGAAGUACAUGGCAAGCUCAGUGUCGAUACUAGACCCAACGAACCCAGAAAAUUUCACCACCUUAAGGCACUGAUGAGGACAUUUAUUAACCUUCUGCAAAUUCCUCAGACAUGGCACUCGUGCCCAUCUUAGCUGCACAAGGACAAAAACAAUACAACUUUUAGAAGUUUGUGUGCAUAAACAUGAAUCAACAAAAACCUUUCUGAAACCAUUAAAUAAACUUCCCAACUUUAAAUUGUAAGACAUGCUGAAAAUAAAUUUACAUCCAAUGUAAAUCUAUGCAAGAAAGGAGACCGCUCUAUCAAUUUAGUCAAAUUAAGGAGGCUUUGCCGAUCACUUGCGACAACAUUCAACGUUAAGUCCUUGAGACAAGUUAAUUCUGGAAAUUCUGGGUGCCUCACCAUUGCACUCUGACAGAUGAAAAGCAAAUUUUGAAAAUAAAGUCUAUAUAUAAUAAUAAUAAUAAUAAUAAUAAUAAUAAUAAUAAUAAUAAUAAAUAGGGAAUUAUUUCAUAUACUGACCAUAUUCAGAUUCAUGUGCAAGUUGAGAUUGAGAGUCACCAGCUGAGGAAGACAACUUUUAACCGGAGGAAAAGUUGGAACUAUAGACCUAGUACUUUCUGCAAGUGAUACAUUUACAAGCAAGGGUGCAUGCCUCAAACGAAUACUGUCAUAGAAACCCAGCAUUCCGUGAUAAAUAAAUGACACGAGAUUAGGAGCACAAAUCUCAAUUUUUUCUAAAUAUAUACAGUCACUUAUUUGUAGGAACUUCAUCCGGAGUGACAAACCGGCAACUUUCAAAGUUACUAAUUGAUCCGAGCAAGAAACGCAAAGAUGCUCAAGGAGUUCACAAUUGGAUAGAAAGUGCUCAACAAGUUCACCGGUUAUGUUUACAAAUGACAAGGAGAGGUGUUUAAGGGACUUGAUGCAGGAAACGCCGAAAGGGCUUCUAAAUGGCUUAUCUGGAAAGAUAUAACUGGCAGCUGAGGAAUACAACUUUUAACCGAAAGAAAAGGUGCAAUUAUAGACCUAGUACUUUCUGCAAACGAAUACUGUCACAAAAACCCAACAUUCCCUUAUAAAUAAAUGAUACGAGAUUAGGAGCCCAAAUCUCAACUAAUCCUAAAGACGUACACUCACUUAUUUGUAGGAAAUUCAACCGGAGUGAUGAACCAGCAACUUUCAAAUUUACUAAUUGAUCUGAGCAAGAAAUGCAGAGAUGCUCAAGGAGUUCACAGUAGGAUAGAAAGUGCUAAACAAGUUCGCCGGUUAUAUUUACAAAGGACAAAGAGAGGUGUUUAAGGGACUUGAUGCAGGAAAUACCAAAAGGGCUUCUAAAUGGCUUAUCUGGAAAGAUAUAACUGGGAGAAGAAAAACGAGACCGUCUGCCUGCUUCCAAAUCUAUCUCAAGGCCUUGAACUCUCCUCCACAUUGCAAAUUCAAU